RNAcentral lists this long non-coding RNA (1768 nucleotides) under Vigna radiata. RNAcentral describes it as "long non-coding RNA (VRAD_LNC012190)". Lineage: Eukaryota; Viridiplantae; Streptophyta; Magnoliopsida; Fabales; Fabaceae. The record is from RNAcentral.
UUAGUGUUGGGAAAAGAAAGAAAGUGUGAAGAUGGCGUCGAGCGGAGCGGUGCCGUUUUGGAGAGCAGCGGGUAUGACCUACAUCACAUACUCUAACAUAUGCGCCAAUCUCGUCAGAAAUUGCCUCAAGGAACCCUACAAGGCCGAAGCCCUCUCUCGUGAGAAGGUCCAUUUCUCUUUCUCCAAAUGGGUCGAGGGCAAGCCUGAAAAACCAAGUAUUCGCCUCUUCUCUUCUCAAUUUUCAUAAUCUGUUUCGUUUAAUUGCAUCCACAUAGAUUUCAUUUUAAUUUCAGAUGAAAAGGUUGUAAUCAUUGUUAUACGUUUUAUCUCUGUGUGGAGUAUGGGAAUAGAUUCCCUCGUUCGCCAAAAUCAAUAACCCUAAUUUUGGCAUGGCAAAUUUUGAUCUUUAUCUUCGUUUAUAUUCCUCGUAAUCAUGUCGUGGGAGGAUCAAUUCCCGUUUUGUGCGAAUUAGCUGUCACCAGAUCCUUCCCUUGGCAUGCUCCAUUUCUAUGUUUUUUAAUUGAUGAUAAAAGCUAUUGAUAUGGUUCGCUAACCUUUGUCUCCGUUUUUUAGUCUUAAUUACAUGUAUGUAUGUGUUUAUAUGCAUGUAUAUUGAUCGUGGCAUCCAUGUCUGCAGGUUCCUAUUUUGUGGGAACAAGAUUUGUUAAGCUAAAGCGUUGCACUUGUUAAGGAUUAAUGGAGAAUGCUUGUCAUAUUACUUUGAGUGUUUUCUAUUUUCACUUUCGAAGAAAACUGAAAAUGAAGCUAAAGUAUCUUUGGUUGAUCAUUAGAAAAUAAUUUAAGAAAAUGUAUUUAAAAUCAGGUUAAAAUUUCCAAUAAGUUGUUUUUAUUUUCUGUUUUCUGUGCUUUGUAUCACGGGUAACCAUGGGAGUCCCUUGUCACUGUUAUUGAUGAGCCAUUGUAAUAGUUUUUUAAAAGUAAACAGGAAAUUGAAAUUGAAAAUAAGAGGUGACAUCAUAGCACAUUUUCUAAAUCUUAACAGAUUGAAAAUAGAAAAUAUUUUCGCAAACCAAAACUUCACCUUGCUGCAAACACAAUUUAGUGAUACGGAUUAUUGGACAAUUGGUUCACCAGUGCUGGGUUCUCUUGUUAAGCUAAAGUUAUUUUGGUAUAUCAAUAGAAAAUAAUUUAAUACAAUAUUUGAAUAGGAUAUUGUGAUGUUUGGAUAAAACAUUCUAAACACACUUUUAAGUGCUGAACAAACUUUUGAACAAGGAUACUCUCUAUAUGUCCUUUACUGAAAUUCUAAACAUACUUCUAGAAGGGGUCCUUGAGUUGAUCAUAUUUUGCUGUUACUCAUCGCCAAAUGUUUUUCAGCUAACAUCAUGUUCGUGUAUUCUGACCAAAGUGUUCAAAUUUCUUUUUCAGCUGUUCGUUCUGACACCCCAGGGCAGUGAUUCGGAAUGCUGGAAGCAAUAAAUGCAUAAAUCAUUGAGAUCUGGAAGUUGAUUGUCAUUUUGAACCUUUUGUGGUCUUUUAUGUUUAAUUUCUUUGUUUUUUUUCGUUCCAUGAAAAAAAACAUUACUGGAUUUUGAUUCAGAUGGUUAUUCUUGUAAUAAUGAAGUUUAAACAAAUGAUUUUGAACUUAAUGACAAGUGGUUUUGCACUUCAAUCUGCUUCCAGGUCCUGAAAUGAGAAAGCUGCUCAACUAUGUUAAGCUGGGUCGUAAGUUUGUGAAAUAAUCCUAGAAUAAAUUGAAAUGAAUCGGGUUUUAUACAUUUUUUUACGAUAUUCGAAGAUUCAUAUA